This is an RNA transcript of Manis javanica (Malayan pangolin), 1944 nucleotides long. It is a transcript of the gene named tyrosyl-tRNA synthetase 2, with no coding region annotated. NCBI's taxonomy places the organism in Eukaryota, Metazoa, Chordata, Mammalia, Pholidota, Manidae. The record is from RefSeq and is a predicted model, not a curated record.
CUAAAAUCCCAACGUUCCCUGCGCGCCACGCCAAGAUGGCUGCGCCCGGGUUUCGCUGUUUUUCCCGGGCUCGGUGGUUUAGUGCCCCAGACCCAUCGGGGAUCUUGUCCCUGGGGCUGCGAGAGGCCCACUCAGGCGCUCAGGGGCUGCUGGCCGUGCAGAAGGCCCGGGGCCUGUUCAAGGAGUUCUUCCCCGAGAGGGGCACGAACAUAGAGCUCCCAGAGCUCUUCGACCGUGGCAUCGCGGGCAACUUUCCCCAGACCAUCUACUGCGGCUUCGACCCCACGGCCGACUCGCUCCACGUGGGGCAUCUGCUGGCGCUGCUGGGCCUGUUUCACUUCCAGCGAGCGGGCCACAACGUGAUCGCGCUGGUGGGAGGUGCCACGGCGCGCCUGGGGGACCCGAGCGGCCGUACCAAAGAGCGCGAGGCGCUGGACGCAGAGCGCGUGCGGAGCAACGCGCAGGCCCUGCGCCAAGGGAUCGAGGCCCUGGAAGCCCAUCACCGACAGCUCUUCACCAACGGGCGGGCCUGGGGCAGCUUCACGGUGCUGGACAACUCGGGCUGGUACCAGGAGCAGCACCUGGUGGACUUCCUGGCUGCGGUGGGCGGCCACUUCCGCAUGGGCACGCUGCUGAGCCGGCUGAGCGUCCAAUCGCGGCUCAAGAGCCCCGAGGGCAUGAGCUUGGCCGAGUUUCUGUACCAGGUGCUCCAGGCCUAUGAUUUCUACUACCUGUUCCGGCGUUAUGGAUGCCGGGUCCAGCUGGGUGGGUCUGAUCAGCUGGGCAAUAUCGUGUCCGGAUACGAGUUCAUCCACAAGUUGACUGGAGAAGAUGUGUUUGGAAUUACUAUUCCUCUAAUUACAAGUACAACUGGAGCAAAACUGGGAAAGUCUGCUGGGAAUGCUGUGUGGCUGAAGAGAGAGAGGACAUCCCCAUUCGAAUUGUAUCAGUUCUUUGUCAGGCAGCAAGACGAUUCUGUGGAAAGGUACCUGAAGCUCUUCACUUUUCUGCCCCUUCCAGAGAUUGACCACAUAAUGCAGCUGCAUGUCAAAGAGCCAGAAAAGCGGGGGCCCCAGAAACGCCUUGCCGCGGAAGUGACCAAGCUUGUUCAUGGACAAGAAGGGCUGCAUUCUGCUAAAAGGUGUACACAGGCCCUUUAUCACAGCAGCAUAGAUGCACUGGAGGUCAUGUCUGAUCAAGAGUUAAAAGAGUUGUUUAAAGAAGCUUCGUUUUCUGAAUUAGUUCUUGACCCUGGAACAAGCGUCCUAGAUACGUGCCGCAAAGCAAACGCCAUUCCGGAUGGUCCCCGAGGGUAUCGGAUGAUAACAGAAGGCGGAGUCAGUAUAAAUCACAGACAAGUAACAAAUCCUGAGAGUGUUUUAGUUGUUGGACAACAUAUACUUAAGAAUGGACUCUCACUGCUUAAAAUAGGAAAAAGGAAUUUCUAUAUUAUAAAAUGGCUUCAACUAUGAUGAAAAAUGCUGACUGUUCAAACUUACCAUCAUUCAUUUGCAAGAUAUACUAAAGGUUGACCCCGAACUCAUACCUUCACUCACACAAAUCAAACAACAGUAGUGGGGAACGGAUUCGCAAUUGGGAAGCAAUGUACUAAAUUCUGAAGUAAAUAAUGCUGUACAAAAAAGUUUGUAUGAAGACUGACUAAAGUGAUGAUCUGUGAGAUAAGAGCUCACCAUUUCAUUUGUAACAGGCAACCGUUUACGGAGAAGACAAGUCACUACUUCAACUAUGGCAUCAUGAAGUUUAGGAAAUCGCAACAGCUCCUACAUGUGAUGGAGAAAAAAAACACAGCAGCCUAUUUUGUAUAAAGGAAAAUUAACUGGCACCGAACUCCCGGUUUAGAUUUAGAAGCUACACUUCAAAUCACUUUAGUUCUGGGACCAGCAGAUGUUAUGUACGUCUUCCCACCCCACGAAGCGAGCAUGC